Non-coding RNA from Paramisgurnus dabryanus, 702 nucleotides. The record is from RefSeq and is a predicted model, not a curated record. Lineage: Eukaryota; Metazoa; Chordata; Actinopteri; Cypriniformes; Cobitidae.
UUCCUUGACAUACACCACAUCUAAGUGAGAUUAUCUACUGUAAAACCCUUAUUUAAAUGUGCUGGAAACUCAAAAUGAAGAUCUGCUAUGUUGUGCACAUCUGCAUGUUUCUGACAGGGAUUAGAGUUUCAUCAACAGACCUUAUUAAGCAUGGAUUCAGUGGAAACAAUGUUAUCAUUUCAUGUGGCCACAGCUGGGCUUCAACCAACGUAAAGUACUUCUGCAGAGAUCCAUGUAAUAAUAAAGAUAUUCGUGUAUCAUCUAAUCGGUCACCUAACGGGAGAUUCAGACUGACAGAUUUUGGGACAGGAACGUUCACAGUGACCAUCACUGAUCUACAGGUGUCAGACUCUGGGGUUUACUGGUGUGGAGUGAGCAGAUAUGGUAGAGACACAUAUAUAAAGGUCAAUCUGAGAGUAUUUAAAGCCAUUAUACAUACUUCAACUGUAUUAGACACAACGCAUCCAUUUUCAACACCACAACCAGAAACUCCAUUUUCCACAUCAAGCAGAACCUCCAGAUUCUCAACCCCUGACGACAUCACAACCUCAUCCUCACUGACGGCCAUUACACCAACUUCCACCACAUUAGACACAACUCAACCGCUUUCUACAGCAACAUCACAACCAGAAAGUCUAUUUGCCACAUCAAGCAGAACCUCCAAAUACUCAACAUCUAAUGAAAUCACAACCUCAUCCUCAA